Molecule: ribosomal RNA, 253 nt
Filed under: uncultured bacterium
Lineage: Bacteria
Description: partial 16S ribosomal RNA
Rfam family: Bacterial small subunit ribosomal RNA
Source: RNAcentral
UACGUAGGGACCGAGCGUUGUCCGGAAUCAUUGGGCGUAAAGAGCGUGUAGGCGGCCACUUAAGUCCUGCGUGAAAUCUUGCGGCUCAACCGCAAGCGGUCGUGGGAAACUGGGUGGCUAGAGUGCGGGAGAGGAGAGUGGAAUUCCUGGUGUAGCGGUGGAAUGCGCAGAUAUCAGGAAGAACACCCGUGGCGAAGGCGGCUCUCUGGACCGCAACUGACGCUGAGACGCGAAAGCGUGGGGAGCAAACAGG